RNAcentral lists this ribosomal RNA (391 nucleotides) under uncultured Methanosaeta sp. RNAcentral describes it as "bacterial SSU rRNA". It matches the Rfam family "Archaeal small subunit ribosomal RNA", at positions 949 to 1338 of the family's 1478-position model. Lineage: Archaea; Methanobacteriati; Methanobacteriota; Methanomicrobia; Methanotrichales; Methanotrichaceae. The record is from RNAcentral.
GAAGGUCAGGCUGAAGACCUUACCCGAUUAGCUGAGAGGUGGUGCAUGGCCGUCGUCAGUUCGUACUGUGAAGCAUCCUGUUAAGUCAGGCAACGAGCGAGACCCACGUCCACAGUUGCCAGCAUACCCGUCCGGGGUGAUGGGUACACUGUGGAGACCGCCGCUGCUAAAGCGGAGGAAGGAGUGGGCAACGGUAGGUCAGUAUGCCCCGAAUCUCCCGGGCUACACGCGGGCUACAAUGGUUGGUACAAUGGGCAUCUACCCCGAAAGGGGAAGGAAAUCUCUUAAAGCCAAUCGUAGUUCGGAUUGAGGGCUGCAACUCGCCCUCAUGAAGCUGGAAUCCGUAGUAAUCGCGUUUCAACAGAACGCGGUGAAUACGUCCCUGCUCCUU